Molecule: long non-coding RNA, 580 nt
Organism: Vicugna pacos (alpaca)
Lineage: Eukaryota; Metazoa; Chordata; Mammalia; Artiodactyla; Camelidae
Source: RefSeq, a predicted model, not a curated record
AUUACCUGAAGAGCUUGCUGAAAUGCGUAUUCCUGGAACCCGAUCCCAGACUUGCGUCAGUAAGUCCAAGAGGCAUCCAAGACCAACGAAAGGACAAAGACUAUACUAUCUGGGAGACUGUAGCAGGAACCAGGGGAACACACCAGUCAGCAUGCCCCAACAUACAAGUCUACCCCUGGGACUGCUGGCGCGGGGAGAUGUGUCAAGCUGGUGCAGGCUGCAGAGAGCAUGCCUCGCCCCACCAGGCCUUUGGGGAAGAUGGCCUCCCCCCACCAUCGUCUGUGAACCUCAUCUCCAAGCUUAGAGCUUCCUCCCCAGGUGGGGUUGCCCCCUCUCUGAGCUCCAAUUUCCCCAUCAGCCUGGAGCCGUAUAUCUUCUCCUCCUUUCUCCUGGCUGCUUUAUAGCUUGCUGGAAACACCUUCCCUUAGCACUUCGAAAUGUAUCACUUGAAAGCAUCUUAAAGUUAACCAAUGUGAUUCUUUUUUAAUUUGAAGGGGCUUAUUUCUCCGAAUGGCUUUCCUGAUCAUAUAGGAGGGCAUGCUCCCUAAUAUUAAACUUUUUCUUUAUAAAGAGCAAAAAA